UUUUUGGAGAGUUUGAUCCUGGCUCAGGAUGAACGCUGGCGGUGUGCCUAAUACAUGCAAGUCGAACGGACUCUUAUUUGAAUCUAGUAUUUAACCUCGGUUAGAUACCAGAUCCUUUCGAGAGUUAGUGGCGGACGGGUGAGUAACACGUUGGUACCUGCCCCGAAGUGGGGAAUAACUGCCCGAAAGGGUAGCUAAUACCGCAUAUUGCCGAAAGGUGAAAGCAGUAAUGCGCUUCGGGAGGGGCCUGCGUCCCAUUAGCUUGUUGGCGGGGUAAUAGCCCACCAAGGCUUCGAUGGGUAGCUGGAUCGAGAGGUUGACCAGCCACACUGGGACUGAGAUACGGCCCAGACUCCUACGGGAGGCAGCAGUAAGGAAUCUUCCACAAUGGACGAAAGUCUGAUGGAGCAACACCGCGUGCAGGAUGAAGGCUUUCGGGUCGUAAACUGCUUUUAUAUAGGAAGAUUAUGACGGUACUAUAUGAAUAAGGACCGGCUAACUACGUGCCAGCAGCCGCGGUAAUACGUAGGGUCCAAGCGUUAUCCGGAAUCACUGGGCGUAAAGCGUGCGUAGGCGGCGUGUUAAGUGUGAUGUUAAAUCGUGUGGCUCAACCAUAUCGAUGCAUCGCAUACUGGCAUGCUUGAGGGAGGCAGAGGCAAGUGGAAUUGGCAGUGUAGCAGUGAAAUGCGUAGAUAUUGCCAGGAACACCAAUGGCGAAGGCAGCUUGCUGGGCCUUCUCUGACGCUGAGGUACGAAAGCGUGGGGAGCGAACAGGAUUAGAUACCCUGGUAGUCCACGCCGUAAACGAUGCAUACUAGUUUUUUGGGGUAUCGACCCCCUGAGAAACGAAGCUAACGCGAUAAGUAUGCCGCCUGGGAAGUACGGUCGCAAGACUAAAACUCAAAGGAAUUGACGGGGACCCGCACAAGCGGUGGAUGAUGUGGUUUAAUUUGACGAUACGCGGAGAACCUUACCCAGGCUUGACAUCCUUGGAACCUUUAAGAAAUUAGAGGGUGCCCUCGGGAGCCAAGUGACAGGUGCUGCAUGGCCGUCGUCAGCUCGUGUCGUGAGAUGUUGGGUUAAGUCCCGCAACGAGCGCAACCCUUAUCGUAUGUUGUAUUUUUCAUGCGAGACUGCCCGGGCCAACCGGGAGGAAGGUGGGGAUGACGUCAGGUCAGCAUGGCCCUUACGCCUGGGGCUACACACGUCAUACAAUGGCCGGUACAACGCGUUGCCAAACCGCAAGGUGGAGCUAAUCGCAACAAAACCGGUCUCAGUUCGGAUUGCAGGCUGCAACUCGCCUGCAUGAAGUCGGAAUCGCUAGUAAACGUGGGUCAGCAUACCACGUUGAAUACGUUCUCGGGUCUUGUACACACCGCCCGUCACGUCAUGGAAGUCGCCAACACCCGAAGUGCCUAUUUUCUAGGCCCUAAGGUGGGGGUGGUAACUAGGAUGAAGUCGUAACAAGGUAUCCGUACCGGAAGGUGCGGAUGGAUCACCUCCUUUCUA
RNAcentral lists this ribosomal RNA (1509 nucleotides) under Candidatus Saccharimonadota bacterium. RNAcentral's name for it is "bacterial SSU rRNA". It matches the Rfam family "Bacterial small subunit ribosomal RNA". The record is from RNAcentral. Lineage: Bacteria; Candidatus Saccharimonadota.